AUGGAGCUGGAUUCUAAACAGAAAGUCUCCGCUGACUGUGUUCUUCAAGCUGCAAAGACACAUCAAGAUUCAAUGAUUUUUGAAAACCAUGGAAGCAGAGGUACUGCCCAGCCUUGCCCAAGAUGUAUUGCUGGAGAAUCUAUAAAAGAAAAACAUGACUGCUUCUGCACCGAUAGCUUGCUCUUGCAGAGAAGAGAGGCUCUCUUUGGCUCCCAGUUCCAGGUAGGAAAGUUUGCUAGUUUGGACAUAAUGCCACACGAAGGCAGGACAGGAGCAGCUGGAAUCAUGUUUCAGUAUAGCUGAGUUCACAUUAUGUUGAGCUCAGAAGACUAUCUUGAUAUAAGCUGGCUUGUGUGAGUGUGUUUGCAUUCAGAGCAUAAAUUUGCUCAUAACUAUCUACAUACGAGUAAUGAACUAAUCUUAUAGAUUUGUUCAUUCUGUUCUCUUUGGAUAAUCAGUUGUUUGUAGUCAUCAUAACAAAUGAUAUAGUUAUACUUUGAUAAAUUUGUUAGGAACUACAUUAGUAAAUUAUUUCAUUCUUAAAAUAAUACAAAGCUUAUAUUAAGCAGAUAGUGCUUAGUAAACUGGUAUUAGCUCAGAUUACUUUCUUAAGUUAAAAUUUCACUUCAGGAAAAUCGGAGACUAUCACAGUAGUUAACACAUCAUGGAAACCAUUUGGAACAGCCAAAAUGAACAUGAGAGAGGAGCCUACAGGCAGAAAAAGAUUAACAAUGUUGCCAUUUAUUUUCAUAAUCAAUAACAGUGUGAAAAUUCUGAUAAGAAGCUGUGUUUUCUACAGACGAUAGGGAAAUUCAAAUAAAUAAAGCAUCCAAAUUGGGUCA
This 842-nucleotide long non-coding RNA is filed under the name Dromaius novaehollandiae (emu). RNAcentral describes it as "lncRNA (ENSDNVG00000004274.1)". Lineage: Eukaryota; Metazoa; Chordata; Aves; Casuariiformes; Dromaiidae. The record is from RNAcentral.